UGCGCAGGCGGGCUUGUAAGUCAGUGGUGAAAUACUGCCGCUCAACGGUAGAACUGCCAUUGAUACUGCAAGUCUUGAGUAUGGUUGAGGUAGGCGGAAUGUGUCGUGUAGCGGUGAAAUGCAUAGAUAUGACACAGAACGCCGAUUGCGAAGGCAGCUUACUAAGCCAUUACUGACGCUGAGGCACGAAAGCGUGGGGAGCGAACAGGAUUAGAUACCCUGGUAGUC
Molecule: ribosomal RNA, 228 nt
Filed under: uncultured bacterium
Lineage: Bacteria
Description: partial 16S ribosomal RNA
Rfam family: Bacterial small subunit ribosomal RNA
Source: RNAcentral